GCUGGGCACAGUGAUGCACACCUGUAAUCCCAGUGACUUGGGAGGCUGAGACAGGAGGAUUGCAAGUUCAAAGCCAGCUUCAGCAAUUUAGCAAGACCCUAUCUCUA
Molecule: small RNA, 107 nt
Filed under: Marmota monax (woodchuck)
Lineage: Eukaryota; Metazoa; Chordata; Mammalia; Rodentia; Sciuridae
Source: RNAcentral